This 1078-nucleotide small RNA is filed under the name Arabidopsis thaliana (thale cress). The record is from RNAcentral. Lineage: Eukaryota; Viridiplantae; Streptophyta; Magnoliopsida; Brassicales; Brassicaceae.
UUAAAAAUAUAUGAAUCUAUAACUUUUAGAACGUUAGGCCAAACUUGGCAUGUGAUACCUUUUCAGAAAGCCCAAAGAGAGCUCUCUGAUGAAUGAGGAAGCACAAUGGAAUUCUUCUUUUUGUUUUUUUUCUACUCUAAAUUUUGACCGUAAUGUACUUUUUCGGGCCUUUCGUGAUCUUUGCUAUAUUAAGCGGCAAAAAUUAUAUGUUCGGACAUUGUUUUCAAAUAUUUUGUAUGUAUCAAAGCUCUUAUAAACAAGAAAGGGUAUUCCUACAUAGCUGGUGGGACCCACGGCAAAUGGAUCAUAAAGUCUUCAAAAAAGAAUAAAUACGAUUGAAUCGAUGUAGUAACGGAUGCGAUCAUACCAGCACUAAUGCACCAGAUCCCAUCAGAACUCUGCAGUUAAGUGUGCUUGGGCGAGAGUACUAGGAUGGGUGACCUUUCGGAAAGUCCUCGUGUUGCAUCCCUCUUUUUUUCGGUGUUACUCUUUUUUUGUUAAAAAUAUAUGACUCUAUAACUUUUAGACCGUGAGGCCAAACUUGGCAUGUGAUACCUUUUCGGAAAGCCUAAAGAGAGCUCUCGGAUGAAUGAGGAAGCACAAUGAAAACAAUGUAUCAAAGCUCUUAUAAACAAGAUAGGGUAUUCCUAUAUAGCUGGUGGGACCCAAGGCAAAUGGAUCAUAAAGUCUUUAAAAAAGAAUAGAUACGAUUGCAUUGCAUGUAGUAACGGAUGCGAUCAUACCAGCAUUAAUGCACCGGAUCACAUCAGAACUCUGCAGUUAAGCGUGCUUUGGCGAGAGUAGUACUAGGAUGGGUGAUUCUCGGAAAGUCCUCGUCUUGCAUCCCUCUUUUGUUUUCGGUUUUUCUCUAUUUUUUGUAAAAAAUGUAUGACUCUAUAACUUUUAGACGUUGAGGCCAAACUUGGUAUGUGAUACAUUUUCGGAAAGCCCAAAGAGAGCUCUCCAAUGAAUGAGGAAGGAAAAUUGAUUUCUUCUGUUGGUUUUAUUUUCUACUCCAAAUUUUGACCUUAAUGUAGUUUGUCGGGACUUUUCGUGAUCUUUGCUAUAUUACAGGGCA